GAACGGUAGCACAGAGAGCUUGCUCUUGGGUGACGAGUGGCGGACGGGUGAGUAAUGUCUGGGAAACUGCCCGAUGGAGGGGGAUAACUACUGGAAACGGUAGCUAAUACCGCAUAACGUCUUCGGACCAAAGUGGGGGACCUUCGGGCCUCACACCAUCGGAUGUGCCCAGAUGGGAUUAGCUAGUAGGUGGGGUAACGGCUCACCUAGGCGACGAUCCCUAGCUGGUCUGAGAGGAUGACCAGCCACACUGGAACUGAGACACGGUCCAGACUCCUACGGGAGGCAGCAGUGGGGAAUAUUGCACAAUGGGCGCAAGCCUGAUGCAGCCAUGCCGCGUGUAUGAAGAAGGCCUUCGGGUUGUAAAGUACUUUCAGUGGGGAGGAAGGCGAAGAGGUUAAUAACCUUUUCGAUUGACGUUACCCGCAGAAGAAGCACCGGCUAACUCCGUG
This 452-nucleotide ribosomal RNA is filed under the name uncultured bacterium. RNAcentral's name for it is "bacterial SSU rRNA". It matches the Rfam family "Bacterial small subunit ribosomal RNA", at positions 64 to 507 of the family's 1533-position model. The record is from RNAcentral.